GUAGGUGGCAAGCGUUGUCCGGAAUUAUUGGGCGUAAAGCGCGCGCAGGUGGUCGUUUAAGUCUGAUGUGAAAGACCCCCGGGCUCAACCGGGGAGGGUCAUUGGAAACUGGGGAACUUGAGUGCAGGAGAGGAAAGUGGAAUUCCACGUGUAGCGGUGAAAUGCGUAGAUAUGUGGAGGAACACCAGUGGCGAAGGCGACUUUCUGGCCUGUAACUGACACUGAGGCGCGAAAGCGUGGGGAGCAAACAGGAUUAGAUGCCCUGGUAGUCCACGCCGUAAACGAUGAGUGCUAAGUGUUGGGGGGUUUCCGCCCCUCAGUGCUGCAGCUAACGCAUUAAGCACUCCGCCUGGGGAGUACGGUCGCAAGACUG
Molecule: ribosomal RNA, 373 nt
Filed under: uncultured organism
Description: partial 16S ribosomal RNA
Rfam family: Bacterial small subunit ribosomal RNA
Source: RNAcentral